CGGGACAUAGCACAGCUUGGUAGUGCGCCUGGUUCGGGACCAGGAGGUCAUGGGUUCAAGUCCCAUUGUUCCGACCA
This 77-nucleotide transfer RNA is filed under the name Bacillota bacterium. RNAcentral describes it as "tRNA-Pro". It matches the Rfam family "tRNA". From Rfam's summary of the family: Transfer RNA (tRNA) molecules are approximately 80 nucleotides in length. Their secondary structure includes four short double-helical elements and three loops (D, anti-codon, and T loops). Further hydrogen bonds mediate the characteristic L-shaped molecular structure. tRNAs have two regions of fundamental functional importance: the anti-codon, which is responsible for specific mRNA codon recognition, and the 3' end, to which the tRNAs corresponding amino acid is attached (by aminoacyl-tRNA synthetases). tRNAs cope with the degeneracy of the genetic code in two manners: having more than one tRNA (with a specific anti-codon) for a particular amino acid; and 'wobble' base-pairing, i.e. permitting non-standard base-pairing at the 3rd anti-codon position. Lineage: Bacteria; Bacillati; Bacillota. The record is from RNAcentral.